AAAAACUAGCAGUAGAUCUAAAGAAAGAUGGAGAGAUAAGAAAUUACAGAGCCAGUCGCCAUUGUAGAAAUGCUUUCCUUUAGCCCAGACAGUGUAAUUGACAUUAGUGGUCCAACCAACGCCUCCCCCUCCCACAAUAAACCUUGUAGCAUCGGCCUCUGGAACCAUUAACACUAAAGCUAAUCCCAGAGCUGCCAUUGCCAUCGUCAUCACUUUGCUUCUCUCCAUUGCUGAGUUUGUUUUCUUUUGGUUUGCUUUGCAUGAUG
Long non-coding RNA from Hibiscus syriacus, 266 nucleotides. RefSeq lists it as uncharacterized. The record is from RefSeq and is a predicted model, not a curated record. The transcript is spliced from 3 exons. NCBI's taxonomy places the organism in Eukaryota, Viridiplantae, Streptophyta, Magnoliopsida, Malvales, Malvaceae.